UGAGUAACCUGCCCUUAACUCUGGGAUAAGCCUGGGAAACUGGGUCUAAUACCGGAUAUGACUCCUCAUCGCAUGGUGGGGGGUGGAAAGCUUUAUUGUGGUUUUGGAUGGACUCGCGGCCUAUCAGCUUGUUGGUGAGGUAAUGGCUCACCAAGGCGACGACGGGUAGCCGGCCUGAGAGGGUGACCGGCCACACUAGGACUGAGACACGGCCCAGACUCCGUACGGGAGCAG
This 234-nucleotide ribosomal RNA is filed under the name uncultured bacterium. RNAcentral's name for it is "partial 16S ribosomal RNA". It matches the Rfam family "Bacterial small subunit ribosomal RNA", at positions 118 to 347 of the family's 1533-position model. The record is from RNAcentral.